RNAcentral lists this ribosomal RNA (468 nucleotides) under uncultured bacterium. RNAcentral describes it as "partial 16S ribosomal RNA". It matches the Rfam family "Bacterial small subunit ribosomal RNA", at positions 28 to 507 of the family's 1533-position model. The record is from RNAcentral.
GACGAACGCUGGCGGCGUGCUUAACACAUGCAAGUCGAACGGAAAGGCCCUGCUUUUGUGGCGUGCUCGAGUGGCGAACGGGUGAGCAACACGUGAGUAACCUGCCCUUCACCUUGGGAUAAAUUCAGGAACAUGGUCCUAAUACCGGAUAGGAGAUCCUGCUGUAUGGUGGGGGUUGGUAAGUUUCGGCGGUUGGGGAUGGACUCCCGGCUUAUCAGAUUGUUGGUGGGGUAGUGGCUUACCAAAGCUUUGGCGGGUAGCCGGCCUGAGAGGGUGGCCGGCCACAUAGUGACUGAGAUACGGCACAGACGCCUACGUGAGGCAGCGGUGGAGAAGAUUACGCAAUGGGCCGAAGCCUGAUGCGACAACGCCUCGUUCGGGAAGACGUCCCUCGAUUUGAAAGCCACUGUCGCCUUUAACGAAGCGUGAGUGACGGUAGUGGGUGAAGAAGCACCGGCUAACUAUGUG